Non-coding RNA from Vicugna pacos (alpaca), 157 nucleotides. Lineage: Eukaryota; Metazoa; Chordata; Mammalia; Artiodactyla; Camelidae. The record is from RefSeq and is a predicted model, not a curated record.
ACCUGAGUUGUGUCCUCACCUGCCCCGCAGCUGGGGCGCGCUUCUUAGAGUCACGGUGAGCCGCGUGUUAACAGAAGCAGCUAGACCCGCUCCCCACGGCUGCCACAGAGUCGGCAAGCAGCGGGCACACAGGUGCCCAGCAGGCAUGCAGGUGCCC